RNAcentral lists this ribosomal RNA (1541 nucleotides) under Pseudomonas syringae. Its description in RNAcentral is "bacterial LSU rRNA". It matches the Rfam family "Bacterial large subunit ribosomal RNA", at positions 1 to 1585 of the family's 2925-position model. The record is from RNAcentral. Lineage: Bacteria; Pseudomonadati; Pseudomonadota; Gammaproteobacteria; Pseudomonadales; Pseudomonadaceae.
GUUAUAUGGUCAAGUGAAGAAGCGCAUACGGUGGAUGCCUUGGCAGUCAGAGGCGAUGAAAGACGUGGUAGCCUGCGAAAAGCUUCGGGGAGUCGGCAAACAGACUGUGAUCCGGAGAUAUCUGAAUGGGGGAACCCAGCCAUCAUAAGAUGGUUAUCUUGUACUGAAUACAUAGGUGCAAGAGGCGAACCAGGGGAACUGAAACAUCUAAGUACCCUGAGGAAAAGAAAUCAACCGAGAUUCCCUUAGUAGUGGCGAGCGAACGGGGACCAGCCCUUAAGUUGUAUUGAGAUUAGCGGAACGUUCUGGAAAGGACGGCCAUAGUGGGUGAUAGCCCUGUACGCGAAAAUCCCUUUGCAAUGAAAUCGAGUAGGACGGGGCACGAGAAACCUUGUCUGAAUAUGGGGGGACCAUCCUCCAAGGCUAAAUACUACUGACUGACCGAUAGUGAACCAGUACCGUGAGGGAAAGGCGAAAAGAACCGCGGAGAGCGGAGUGAAAUAGAUCCUGAAACCGUAUGCGUACAAGCAGUGGGAGCCCACUUUGUUGGGUGACUGCGUACCUUUUGUAUAAUGGGUCAGCGACUUAUUUUCAGUGGCGAGCUUAACCGAAUAGGGGAGGCGUAGCGAAAGCGAGUCUUAAUAGGGCGUCUAGUCGCUGGGAAUAGACCCGAAACCGGGCGAUCUAUCCAUGGGCAGGUUGAAGGUUGGGUAACACUAACUGGAGGACCGAACCGACUACCGUUGAAAAGUUAGCGGAUGACCUGUGGAUCGGAGUGAAAGGCUAAUCAAGCUCGGAGAUAGCUGGUUCUCCUCGAAAGCUAUUUAGGUAGCGCCUCAUGUAUCACUGUAGGGGGUAGAGCACUGUUUCGGCUAGGGGGUCAUCCCGACUUACCAAACCGAUGCAAACUCCGAAUACCUACAAGUGCCGAGCAUGGGAGACACACGGCGGGUGCUAACGUCCGUCGUGAAAAGGGAAACAACCCAGACCGUCAGCUAAGGUCCCAAAGUCAUGGUUAAGUGGGAAACGAUGUGGGAAGGCUUAGACAGCUAGGAGGUUGGCUUAGAAGCAGCCACCCUUUAAAGAAAGCGUAAUAGCUCACUAGUCGAGUCGGCCUGCGCGGAAGAUGUAACGGGGCUCAAACCAUGCACCGAAGCUACGGGUAUCAUCUUUUGAUGAUGCGGUAGAGGAGCGUUCUGUAAGCCUGUGAAGGUGAGUUGAGAAGCUUGCUGGAGGUAUCAGAAGUGCGAAUGCUGACAUGAGUAACGACAAUGGGUGUGAAAAACACCCACGCCGAAAGACCAAGGUUUCCUGCGCAACGUUAAUCGACGCAGGGUUAGUCGGUCCCUAAGGCGAGGCUGAAAAGCGUAGUCGAUGGAAAACAGGUUAAUAUUCCUGUACUUCUGGUUAUUGCGAUGGAGGGACGGAGAAGGCUAGGCCAGCCUGGCGUUGGUAGUCCAGGUUUAAGGUGGUAGGCUGAGAUCUUAGGUAAAUCCGGGAUCUUAAGGCCGAGAGCUGAUGACGAGUGUUCUUUUAGAACA